GCCCAGCUGGCUCAGUUGGGGGAGCUUGUGACUCUUGAGCUCAAGGUUGUGAGUUCAAGCCCCACGCUGGAUG
RNAcentral lists this transfer RNA (73 nucleotides) under Canis lupus familiaris (dog). It matches the Rfam family "tRNA". Rfam says of the family: Transfer RNA (tRNA) molecules are approximately 80 nucleotides in length. Lineage: Eukaryota; Metazoa; Chordata; Mammalia; Carnivora; Canidae. RNAcentral also lists the same sequence under 1 other name. The record is from Rfam by way of RNAcentral.